CCUACGGGGGGCAGCAGUGAGGAAUAUUGGUCAAUGGACGCAAGUCUGAACCAGCCAUGCCGCGUGCAGGAAGACGGCUCUAUGAGUUGUAAACUGCUUUUGUACGAGGGUAAAUCCCGAUACGUGUAUCGGGUUGAAAGUAUCGUACGAAUAAGGAUCGGCUAACUCCGUGCCAGCAGCCGCGGUAAUACGGAGGAUUCAAGCGUUAUCCGGAUUUAUUGGGUUUAAAGGGUGCGUAGGCGGUUCGAGAAGUUAGAGGUGAAAGCCCGGGGCUCAACUCCGGCACUGCCUCUGAUACUGUCGGGCUAGAGUUUAGUUGCGGUAGGCGGAAUGUAUGGUGUAGCGGUGAAAUGCAUAGAGAUCAUACAGAACACCGAUUGCGAAGGCAGCUUACCAAACUACGACUGACGUUGAGGCACGAAAGCGUGGGGAGCAAACAGGAUUAGAUACCCCAGUAGUC
This 460-nucleotide ribosomal RNA is filed under the name uncultured bacterium. RNAcentral's name for it is "partial 16S ribosomal RNA". It matches the Rfam family "Bacterial small subunit ribosomal RNA", at positions 338 to 795 of the family's 1533-position model. The record is from RNAcentral.